CAAUCAUCAUGCCCCUUAUGAUUUGGGCUACACACGUGCUACAAUGGACAAUACAAAGGGCAGCGAAACCGCGAGGUCAAGCAAAUCCCAUAAAGUUGUUCUCAGUUCGGAUUGUAGUCUGCAACUCGACUAUAUGAAGCUGGAAUCGCUAGUAAUCGUAGAUCAGCAUGCUACGGUGAAUACGUUCCCGGGUCUUGUACACACCGCCCGUCACACCACGAGAGUUUGUAACACCCGAAGCCGGUGGAGUAACCAUUUGGAGCUAGCCGUCGAAGGUGGGACAAAUGAUUGGGGUGAAGUCGUAACAAGGUAGCCGUAUCGGAAGGUGCGGUUGG
This 335-nucleotide ribosomal RNA is filed under the name Staphylococcus epidermidis. RNAcentral's name for it is "bacterial SSU rRNA". It matches the Rfam family "Bacterial small subunit ribosomal RNA", at positions 1187 to 1521 of the family's 1533-position model. Lineage: Bacteria; Bacillati; Bacillota; Bacilli; Caryophanales; Staphylococcaceae. The record is from RNAcentral.